GGGGGACUGCUCUAGUCACGUUUGAGUGAUUCCCUAUAUAAGCAACCAAAUUUUUUCCCAAAAAAAGGGGGGGCGGGCCUCUUCCCCCCUAAAUCCACAUCUGCAAGCUAACAAAUUGGAAACUGUACCUACGCCUUAGUAUGUUUUAAGUUUGAAUUUUUAUUAAACUUAAUUUCAUAUGAUAAAGUCAUGCUUUCAGAU
RNAcentral lists this long non-coding RNA (201 nucleotides) under Mytilus galloprovincialis (Mediterranean mussel). Lineage: Eukaryota; Metazoa; Mollusca; Bivalvia; Mytilida; Mytilidae. The record is from RNAcentral.